CCUACGGGAGGCAGCAGUGAGGAAUAUUGGUCAAUGGGCGCGAGCCUGAACCAGCCAAGUAGCGUGAAGGAUGACUGCCCUACGGGUUGUAAACCUCUUUUGCCGGGGAGCAGAGGUCCGGACGUGUCCGGGCCAGGAGAGUACCCGGAAAAAAAGCAUCGGCUAACUCCGUGCCAGCAGCCGCGGUAAUACGGAGGAUGCGAGCGUUAUCCGGAUUUAUUGGGUUUAAAGGGUGCGUAGGCGGGCAUUUAACCCGGCGGUAAAAUGUCGGGGCUCAACCCCGGCCUGCCGUCGGAACUGGGUGCCUUGAGUGGGCGUGAAGUAUGCGGAAUGCGUGGUGUAGCGGUGAACUGCAUAGAUAUCACGCAGAAGCCCGAUUGCGAAGGCAGCAUACCGGCGCCCUACUGACGCGGAGGCACGAAAGUGCGGGUAUCGAACAGGAUUAGAUACCCUGGUAGUA
RNAcentral lists this ribosomal RNA (460 nucleotides) under uncultured bacterium. RNAcentral's name for it is "partial 16S ribosomal RNA". It matches the Rfam family "Bacterial small subunit ribosomal RNA", at positions 338 to 795 of the family's 1533-position model. The record is from RNAcentral.